RNAcentral lists this ribosomal RNA (254 nucleotides) under uncultured bacterium. RNAcentral's name for it is "partial 16S ribosomal RNA". It matches the Rfam family "Bacterial small subunit ribosomal RNA", at positions 524 to 776 of the family's 1533-position model. The record is from RNAcentral.
UACAGGGGGUGCAAACGUUGCUCGGAAUCAUUGGGCGUAAAGCGCACGUAGGCGGUUCAGUAAGUCGGGUGUGAAAUCUCCGUGCUCAACACGGAGCGGCCACCUGAUACUGCUGUGACUCGAGUCCGGUAGGGGAGUGUGGAAUUCCCGGUGUAGCGGUGAAAUGCGCAGAUAUCGGGAGGAACACCAGUAGCGAAGGCGGCACUCUGGGCCGUGACUGACGCUGAGGAGCGAAAGCGUGGGUAGCAAACAGG